Taeniopygia guttata (zebra finch) is the source of this 4435-nucleotide non-coding RNA. Lineage: Eukaryota; Metazoa; Chordata; Aves; Passeriformes; Estrildidae. The record is from RefSeq and is a predicted model, not a curated record.
UUUGGAGAAACAGGGAGGAAAAGAAAAGCAGGCAUAAUUUAAGGUACUCAACCUUUUUUCCUGACCUAAGAACUCAUUCUGUGCAGUUAAUUCCUGCAGAAGCUGCAUCCAAAGUAAGAUGGAGUGAAUAUGACAUCAAAAGCAGGCUAAAGUUGGAAACAGUUUACCUUUUUACUUUCUUCUUCUUAAGCAGACAUGCUCUACUGUCAUUUGGGGAUUUAAGUUACUGGUAUCAAGAUGCUUUAUAACGUCUUAUAUUCUUUCCAGCUUCUCAUUUGAGAAGACAGAUAUUUUCUUUACUGUGCAUUAAAGGCUAUAUUGCAUUUACCUAGCUUUGGAAAAUGCAUAUGUAAAAGGACAUGUUUUUAUGAAAGAGUACAGAUCUGAAAUUUUGAAGUGAAUACAUUUGAAGUGAAUGAAUAAAGCAUUUUUUUGCAACUGUUCCUUACCAACCUUAAACUCAUAAUUUCUUUAGUGUGUUUCAUUGCCUAUACCUUCUAAAUAAAUUAGGUACACAUCACUCAUUUAUUAAUAAUUUACAUUAAUAAUUUAAUAAUCCUCUUCUGGUCAACUCCUGUAAUCUCUCUAAAUAGCUGUUUAUAAUAAUUUGCAAGGAGAAUCACUAGAUUAUUUGAAUAUUUCCUGUUUAGGAAGCCCCUAGCUGUUACCCAUCUUUAUGUACUCUUAUGUGAAUUUUUAGCUCUGUAGAAAGAGAUGUCCAGCUCUUCCUGUAAUUUUAGUAUUUUAGUCACCAUUUACAGGUAGGCAAAACCAGAUCUUUUCCACAUCCCAGUUUUAUUUUGUCAUCUGAAUUUCUUUUCUUUCCUUGGUUCUGAUACUUUUCUUGAAAACCAUCUAUAUGUAAGAGGUUAAAUGGGUAUCAGUAACCCAGCUGACACUACCAGCUCACAUUCCCAUUUUGACUUCAAGAUGUAACUGUGAGUAACUGCUAUAACUUUUCAUUUCCUGCUUAUUGUAGUGUUAGUAUUGAUUUAGUUAGAGCAGUAUCAAACUUUUAUUUGUUUCAUAUGUGAGUGAAAUUUUUCUUUUUCUCUUAGCUAUCAAAUACAGGAUUUCAGUUCUUGUGGCUGAAUUUGGUCAAGAUUUAAACUUUGACAUGCAUCUAAGGCUGCUGGGUUUGUCAGUCAUUAUCAUUCAUCAUUAUCAUGUCAUAUCAUAUCAUGAUUUAUUUUCACUUGGAGAAGAGCAAAUACUGCAUAAAGGUUGAAGUUAUAAUAAUUUUUAUAAGAUUAAAAAGGAGGCAAGGAUGUCUUCAAACAUUUUCAUCAGGAAAAAUUAAGUAAAAAAAUUAAUGUGAAUUAGAGAAUGGUUUCAGUGAAAAUUCUUUGGUGUUCACUAGAAAAUAUGAGAACAGUUGAGGAAAAUCAGUUAUGUGUUUGUAUCCUUUGGGAUUCCUUUUGGAAUUUAGAAGCAGCAAAAGUCUGGAUUUUAAGUUUUUUUUUGUUUAAUCUGGUGGCUAGACAAGCUCCUUAAAGCUAUAUUUGUGUGCAUAUGUAUAUUUUACAUGUAAACAUGUCCAUAAAUCUGUGUCUAUCUGCCAAGAAAACAUGAGAGGCUGAGGUGACUGCAUUUGGAUAAUAUCUUUUUAGUAACAGCUUUACUACAGGGUAAGCAGAUUAUUUCUUUGAGUAGCAAAUGCCCUUCAACUUGAAAAAAAAGGGAAAAAAAAGAUGGAGGCAGAAUCAUAAUGCAAAUUUGUAAGACUUUGUGGUGCGUUAGAACCUGGUAAUAUGAGUCUGUUACUUUUUGUUAGGAGAGGGCUUGAAUUAUCUGAAAUUUGUAUUAAAAAUUUAAAUGGAUUAUUUAAAAGGAACCUUUGUAUUUUUAAAAGUACUGUUACUGAUCCCUGUGUUGGAAAAUGGUACAAUUUUAUCAUAAGUCAAAAGUGCAUGGGGUUAGAUGAUACCUAUAGCAGCUGAGGUAAUAAUUUACUUACUGAGGAAGCCAUAUGAAAUGAUAGUUAAAUAAGAAACAAAGUGAUGACAUUUAAAAUAGAUUGCAUGUGUGUCUCAACAUUUAAAAAAAGAAAAAUCUAUUGAACAUACUGCAGUUUUGAAGAAAAAUAAUGUUACCAUUUUGGAAACUUGUGCCUAUAUUGGUCAUGUAUAAAAUUAUAUUUAUAAAUGAUGAUUCUUCCAAGUUGGAAUCCUUUCAAGUACGUAUAAUUUUAUUUUGGAUCAAUAAUUCAGUUGUGCUUGGACUAGAUUGAGGGUGCAUGUGAAACUUUGGUAAGUGCAAUAUAGUGUGCAUGUCCAUGAAAUUAUACAAAGCUGUCAUGACAGGUAUCAUCCUUUAAAAGUAAUGAAUGCAGGUAGGUUGGUAAGCAGGGGAAAUAAUCAGCAUUACCAGAACAACAUCUGUCCUGGUGAAAUAUUCACUCUUGGCAAGGCAGUGUUAAAUUCAUAAACUUUUUCUGUUCCAAGUUUCUGUAAGAACAUUUCAGAUUCCAGUGUUCAGUAAUUAUUGCACAGGUGUGGGAUAACUGUGCAGCUCAUCCUACUGGAAAGCUUUGGAUUUCUGUGCAUUGUGGAAGAAUGUACCUUUCCCCAGUUUCAGAAAUGUUUAUGAAGCUUUAGAAAGUGCAGUGUCUUCUAUCUGGUAGUUAGAUUUCUAUCACUUCUUGUUAUUGUUAGGGUUUCUUUUUAUUACUUACUUUAUUAUGUGUUGUACAGGGGGACCUGCUUCGCCAUUUUACAUUUUUUUACUGUUGUUUUGUUAGGCGUAAAUUUGAUGCUGCAGGAGGAAUGAAGAUGUGCAAACCCAGUUAUUAAUCAUGCUCAAAUCUUUUCCAUAUGUGUGUCUUGAAACAUUUAUUUUUCCUCUAUUACCUUUAUAUGAAAUAAAAUUGUGUUUUUCUUUUUUAUGCUUGAGAGUAUUGACUUGAUAAAAAUGAAGGCUGUUGCUUGCUCCCCUUUGCAGAAGUGAUGUCAUAAAAAGGAGCAAGACAUUCCUAACAUUCCUAACUUUUUCUCUUAGCCCAAAUUAAGCUCAUCCCUGCUGAGGAGUUUAGGUGGAGGACUACUCCAAGAUGUGUUACCUGCUUUUUCUUCUAGCAAGAGUGACUCAGAAUUCUCUUGAGGGUAGCUAUUGCAACAACAGUGGAGCACAAAGACAGAGAAAUUAAUAAAGUAAAUAGGAAAGACAGUAAAUAUAGACCAGACCAUCCUCAUUUACUGUUAGAAAUAAGAAAGGAACAGUAUUAAGGCACAUAGAUGAGACAAACCAGCACUUAUCCAUGGUGAAAUCUAUAAAAUGUCUUCGAUUGCUCAAGGGAUCUUUAGAUAUAGCAUUAUUUUCUCUAUCUUAUGGAUGACUUGACCACCUUCACUAUGAAUUUUUCAUGAUUUCCUGACCCAGCAGCUCUUGCCUGUGGAGAGAGUAAUACAGUAUUGAUUUAGGUGUUAGGUUUCUGCCUUUUUUGCCAUAACAGGAUUUUUGUAGCCUAGAAACCUCAAUCCCUGAUUACUCAUUAGAGACUUGAACAACUUUUCUUAGAUCUGGAAUGUAAAAGAAUAAUCACUUAGUUACUUUUGUCAUAGGUAGCCUUUGUAGUGGAAUUUCAGCUCAUCUUGGUAAUGAGUGCUGUUAUUAAGCUUAUCCUGAUUGAAUGGGCUCUACUAGGCCUUCAGAUUGCAAAAAUACUGUUGCCUGAUAACAAUUAGUGUGUUUGCAGCAGAAUUAUACUGGUGAAUGUGUUUAUUUAGCAGCAUACUGCAAACCAGUGGAAUAAGUAGGGGUCUGUCUUCCUGCAUUCAUCCUGGCAUUGAUGUCUUGGUGACUUAUUUUCUGUGCCUCUUGGGCAUAUUAGAAAAUUGAAAAGAGGCCAUGAUGUUUCUAUUUCUCAUUUAAACUGUUGUGUUUUUUUUUUAAAUAAAAAAUCCAUAUCUUACAUCCUCAGCAUUGCCAUGGAAACAAGAUUUUUAAAAGGGACUUAACUGAAAUUUAGCAGCAGUUUUUAUUUCUUUGUGAUUCAUACUUCAUAAAAAUGCAAAUGUCACACUAAUACAUGUUUUACCUUAAUAUUUUAUACUACCAUUUUGUCUUAAUUGGUCUAAUGUUUUCCCUAAUUAAAUUUUGAGCUUCUUUGAAUGAUUUUAAAACUGUACUGUGGACCUAUCAAGCUUUAAAUUUUGACUGUGACAUACAAUUUAAGACACUGUCAUAGAGGAAAAUCAAUCAUUUCAACCUGUAGUCACAGGCACAACAAAAGAUUUAAAAGAUUUAAAAAGCCUUUUGUCCUGACUGGAAAUUUCUUGGCCUCUAUAAUCUUCAUUUCUAGUGAAGUAUCACAGCAAAUAGCUAUUAAUCAUUUAUAUUCCUUUGUUUUUAACUUUAUUCCCUCUAACUGUGUGAAGUUGUUUAGAGGAUAAAUUACUGCUGUGCUAAAUAAAGCUUUUAUUCAUAGUUCCCUUAA